CGUAUAUUAAAGUUGUUGCGGUUAAAAAGCUCGUAGUUGGAUUUCUGUCGGGAAUGGACGGUCCACACGCUGUGUGAGUAUCUGUAUCAGUCCUGGCAUCCUCCUAGAGAACGUACUGCUCUUAACUGAGUGGUGCGGAAUCUAGGACUUUUACUUUGAGGAAAUUUGAGUGUUUACGGCAGGCAAUCGCCUUGAAAACGUUAGCAUGGAAUAAUAACAUAAGACUUUUUGUUCUUCUUGUUGGUUCAUGAACGGAAAGUAAUGAUUGAUAGGGAUAUUUGGGGGCAUUCGUAUUAUGCGGUCAGAGGUGGAAUUCUUGGAUUCGCAUACGACGAACUACUGCGAAAGCAUUUGCCAAGGAUGUUUUCAUUGAUCAAGAACGAAAGUGUGGGGAUCGAAGAUGAUUAGAUACCGUCGUAGUCUACACCAUAAACUAUGCCGACUAGAGAUUGGAGGUUGUCCAUUUAUAACUCCUUCAGCACCUUAUGAGAAAUCAAAGUUUUUGGGUUCCGGGGGGAGUAUGGUCGCAAGGCUGAAACUUAAAGGAAUU
Molecule: ribosomal RNA, 550 nt
Filed under: uncultured marine picoplankton
Lineage: Eukaryota
Description: SSU rRNA
Rfam family: Eukaryotic small subunit ribosomal RNA
Source: RNAcentral